UACGAGAGGUGCAAACGUUAUUCGGAUUUACUGGGCGUAAAGGGUGUGUAGGCGGCAUGUUGUGUCUGUUGUUAAAGACUCCGGCUUACCCGGAGGAGUGCAGCGGAAACUAAUGUGCUAGAGGAUGGAAGAGAGGAGUGGAAUUCCCGGAGUAGCGGUAAAAUGCGUAGAUCUCGGGAGGAACACCAAUGGCGAAGGCAGCUCCUUGGUCCAUACCUGACGCUGAGAAACGAAAGCGUGGGGAGCAAACAGG
RNAcentral lists this ribosomal RNA (253 nucleotides) under uncultured bacterium. RNAcentral describes it as "partial 16S ribosomal RNA". It matches the Rfam family "Bacterial small subunit ribosomal RNA", at positions 524 to 776 of the family's 1533-position model. The record is from RNAcentral.